GAUGAAGAACGUAGCGAAAUGCGAUAAGUAGUGUGAAUUGCAGAAUUCAGUGAACCAUCGAAUCUUUGAACGCACAUUGCGCCCUUUGGUAUUCCAAAGGGCAUGCCUGUUCGAGCGUCAUUUGUACCCUCAAGCUUUGCUUGGUGUUGGGCGUCUUGUCUCUAGCUUUGCUGGAGACUCGCCUUAAAGUAAUUGGCAGCCGGCCUACUGGUUUCGGAGCGCAGCACAAGUCGCACUCUCUAUCAGCAAAGGUCUAGCAUCCAUUAAGCCUUUUUUUCAACUUUUGACCUCGGAUCAGGUAGGGAUACCCGCUGAACUUAAGCAUAUCAAUAAGCGGAGGA
This 341-nucleotide unclassified non-coding RNA is filed under the name soil metagenome. Its description in RNAcentral is "partial contains 5.8S ribosomal RNA, internal transcribed spacer 2, and large subunit ribosomal RNA". The stretch from base 1 to 120 matches the Rfam family "5.8S ribosomal RNA", at positions 35 to 154 of the family's 154-position model. The record is from RNAcentral.